AUUGAACGCUGGCGGCAGGCCUAACACAUGCAAGUCGAGCGGGGUUUUCGGACCUAGCGGCGGACGGGUGAGUAAUGCGUAGGAAGCUACCCGAUAGAGGGGGAUACCAGUUGGAAACGACUGUUAAUACCGCAUAAUGUCUACGGACCAAAGUGUGGGACCUUCGGGCCACAUGCUAUCGGAUGCGCCUACGUGGGAUUAGCUAGUUGGUGGGGUAAUGGCUCACCAAGGCGACGAUCCCUAGCUGGUUUGAGAGGAUGAUCAGCCACACUGGAACUGAGACACGGUCCAGACUCCUACGGGAGGCAGCAGUGGGGAAUAUUGGACAAUGGGCGCAAGCCUGAUCCAGCCAUGCCGCGUGUGUG
RNAcentral lists this ribosomal RNA (365 nucleotides) under uncultured bacterium. Its description in RNAcentral is "bacterial SSU rRNA". It matches the Rfam family "Bacterial small subunit ribosomal RNA", at positions 30 to 407 of the family's 1533-position model. The record is from RNAcentral.